This 595-nucleotide ribosomal RNA is filed under the name Salmonella enterica. RNAcentral describes it as "partial 23S ribosomal RNA". It matches the Rfam family "Bacterial large subunit ribosomal RNA", at positions 594 to 1190 of the family's 2925-position model. Lineage: Bacteria; Pseudomonadati; Pseudomonadota; Gammaproteobacteria; Enterobacterales; Enterobacteriaceae. The record is from RNAcentral.
UGACUGCGUACCUUUUGUAUAAUGGGUCAGCGACUUAUAUUCUGUAGCAAGGUUAACCGUAUAGGGGAGCCGAAGGGAAACCGAGUCUUAACCGGGCGUUAAGUUGCAGGGUAUAGACCCGAAACCCGGUGAUCUAGCCAUGGGCAGGUUGAAGGUUGGGUAACACUAACUGGAGGACCGAACCGACUAAUGUUGAAAAAUUAGCGGAUGACCUGUGGCUGGGGGUGAAAGGCCAAUCAAACCGGGAGAUAGCUGGUUCUCCCCGAAAGCUAUUUAGGUAGCGCCUCGUGAAUUCAUCUCCGGGGGUAGAGCACUGUUUCGGCUAGGGGGCCAUCCCGGCUUACCAACCCGAUGCAAACUGCGAAUACCGGAGAAUGUUAUCACGGGAGACACACGGCGGGUGCUAACGUCCGUCGUGAAGAGGGAAACAACCCAGACCGCCAGCUAAGGUCCCAAAGUCAUGGUUAAGUGGGAAACGAUGUGGGAAGGCCCAGACAGCCAGGAUGUUGGCUUAGAAGCAGCCAUCAUUUAAAGAAAGCGUAAUAGCUCACUGGUCGAGUCGGCCUGCGCGGAAGAUGUAACGGGGCUAAACCAU